AAGAUAAAGUUCACCAUCAUACUGCGAAAGAGAUGAGUAAAUUUAUUGUAUAAUUGCAUUUAAGAAGAACAGGGAAACUAAACUAGAAUGACUAUUUAUUUUCUCAAACUGGAAAUGCAUAAUAAAAAUGGUGGGAAAAUCAGUACCACAGUAUUGGCAGCUAUACUGCAUAUUGCAAAAGUAGACCCUAGUUCAUAACUAACCUUAAACAUA
RNAcentral lists this unclassified non-coding RNA (213 nucleotides) under Hevea brasiliensis (rubber tree). Lineage: Eukaryota; Viridiplantae; Streptophyta; Magnoliopsida; Malpighiales; Euphorbiaceae. The record is from RNAcentral.